ACCCCUCGGAUCCGAAAGAAAUACCCCCUGAAAUUAAGCAUCUAAAU
This 47-nucleotide ribosomal RNA is filed under the name Pyricularia oryzae. RNAcentral describes it as "partial 28S ribosomal RNA". Lineage: Eukaryota; Fungi; Ascomycota; Sordariomycetes; Magnaporthales; Pyriculariaceae. The record is from RNAcentral.